RNAcentral lists this transfer RNA (130 nucleotides) under Vitis vinifera (wine grape). It matches the Rfam family "tRNA". Rfam says of the family: Transfer RNA (tRNA) molecules are approximately 80 nucleotides in length. Their secondary structure includes four short double-helical elements and three loops (D, anti-codon, and T loops). Further hydrogen bonds mediate the characteristic L-shaped molecular structure. tRNAs have two regions of fundamental functional importance: the anti-codon, which is responsible for specific mRNA codon recognition, and the 3' end, to which the tRNAs corresponding amino acid is attached (by aminoacyl-tRNA synthetases). tRNAs cope with the degeneracy of the genetic code in two manners: having more than one tRNA (with a specific anti-codon) for a particular amino acid; and 'wobble' base-pairing, i.e. permitting non-standard base-pairing at the 3rd anti-codon position. Lineage: Eukaryota; Viridiplantae; Streptophyta; Magnoliopsida; Vitales; Vitaceae. The record is from Rfam by way of RNAcentral.
GGCAGCAUGGCCGAGUGGAAAGGCAGGGGACUGCAAAUCCUUUUCCCCCAUGAAUAAGGAAAUGGGUCAGGACUUGCUCAAUUUGCCUAUUAUACUAUAGAAAUGUAUAUUUAAAUUUCUUUUGUUGCCA